GAUGAACGCUGGCGGCGUGCCUAAUACAUGCAAGUCGAGCGAACAGACGAGGAGCUUGCUCCUCUGACGUUAGCGGCGGACGGGUGAGUAACACGUGGAUAACCUACCUAUAAGACUGGGAUAACUUCGGGAAACCGGAGCUAAUACCGGAUAAUAUAUUGAACCGCAUGGUUCAAUAGUGAAAGACGGUUUUGCUGUCACUUAUAGAUGGAUCCGCGCCGCAUUAGCUAGUUGGUAAGGUAACGGCUUACCAAGGCAACGAUGCGUAGCCGACCUGAGAGGGUGCUCGGCCACACUGGAACUGAGACACGGUCCAGACUCCUACGGGAGGCAGCAGUAGGGAAUCUUCCGCAAUGGGCGAAAGCCUGACGGAGCAACGCCGCGUGAGUGAUGAAGGUCUUCGGCUCGUAAAACUCUGUUAUUAGGGAAGAACAAAUGUGUAAGUAACUAUGCACGUCUUGACGGUACCUAAUCAGAAAGCCACGGCUAACUACGU
RNAcentral lists this ribosomal RNA (496 nucleotides) under uncultured bacterium. Its description in RNAcentral is "partial 16S ribosomal RNA". It matches the Rfam family "Bacterial small subunit ribosomal RNA", at positions 28 to 506 of the family's 1533-position model. The record is from RNAcentral.